UGGGGAAUAUUGGACAAUGGGGGAAACCCUGAUCCAGCCAUGCCGCGUGAGUGAUGAAGGCCUUAGGGUUGUAAAGCUCUUUUACCAGGGAUGAUAAUGACAGUACCUGGAGAUUAAGCCCCGGCUAACUCCGUGCCAGCAGCCGCGGUAAUACGGAGGGGGCUAGCGUUGUUCGGAAUCACUGGGCGUAAAGCGCGCGUAGGCGGUAUUGUACGUUAGAGGUGAAAGCCCGGGGCUCAACUCCGGAAUUGCCUUUGAUACUGGUAGUCUUGAGUUCGAGAGAGGUGAGUGGAAUUCCGAGUGUAGAGGUGAAAUUCGUAGAUAUUCGGAGGAACACCAGUGGCGAAGGCGGCUCACUGGCUCGAUACUGACGCUGAGGUACGAAAGUGUGGGGAGCAAACAGGAUUAGAUACCCCGGUAG
Molecule: ribosomal RNA, 421 nt
Filed under: uncultured prokaryote
Description: bacterial SSU rRNA
Rfam family: Bacterial small subunit ribosomal RNA
Source: RNAcentral